This is a long non-coding RNA of Maniola jurtina (meadow brown), 237 nucleotides long. RefSeq lists it as uncharacterized. The record is from RefSeq and is a predicted model, not a curated record. The transcript has 4 exons. Lineage: Eukaryota; Metazoa; Arthropoda; Insecta; Lepidoptera; Nymphalidae.
UGUAAUAUGUAUUGCACUUACUUUUUAUAUAUACAGUUCUUGCAAUUCACGAAGGCGAGUGGCUCAUGCUUGUGUUUAAGUCAUAUCGGUAUAAGUAAGGUACUCUAAAAGUGUGCGUUUGUGAGUGCUUGCUCGCGACUCAUUGGUCCGAAAUGCACGCACACUUACGCAAUGCCCAUGUAUACGACGUAACCACAAGUAAAGUUCACUCGCCUUCGUGAAUUGCAAGAACUGUAA